This 452-nucleotide ribosomal RNA is filed under the name uncultured bacterium. RNAcentral describes it as "bacterial SSU rRNA". It matches the Rfam family "Bacterial small subunit ribosomal RNA", at positions 340 to 784 of the family's 1533-position model. The record is from RNAcentral.
UACGGGAGGCAGCAGUGGGGAAUAUUGCACAAUGGGCGCAAGCCUGAUGCAGCCAUGCCGCGUGUAUGAAGAAGGCCUUCGGGUUGUAAAGUACUUUCAGUCGUGAGGAAGGUGUUAAGGUUAAUAACCUUAGCAAUUGACGUUAGCGACAGAAGAAGCACCGGCUAACUCCGUGCCAGCAGCCGCGGUAAUACGGAGGGUGCGAGCGUUAAUCGGAAUUACUGGGCGUAAAGGGCACGCAGGCGGUUAAUUAAGUUGGAUGUGAAAUCCCCGGGCUUAACCUGGGAAUGGCAUUCAAGACUGGUUAGCUAGAGUCUUGUAGAGGGGGUAGAAUUCCAUGUGUAGCGGUGAAAUGCGUAGAGAUGUGGAGGAAUACCGGUGGCGAAGGCGGCCCCUGGCAAAGGACUGACGCUCAUGUGCGAAAGCGUGGGGAGCGAAACAGGGAUUAGAUA